Molecule: ribosomal RNA, 546 nt
Filed under: uncultured Glomeromycotina
Lineage: Eukaryota; Fungi; Glomeromycota
Description: SSU rRNA
Rfam family: Eukaryotic small subunit ribosomal RNA
Source: RNAcentral
UUGGAGGGCAAGUCUGGUGCCAGCAGCCGCGGUAAUUCCAGCUCCAAUAGCGUAUAUUAAAGUUGUUGCAGUUAAAAAGCUCGUAGUUGAAUUUCGGGGUCAGCAAGUUGGUCGUGCCUACGGUAUGAACUGGUACAAUUGGUUUCUCCCUUCUGACGAAGCAUGAUGUCAUUAAUUUGGUGUCGUGGGGAAUCAGGACUGUUACUUUGAAAAAAUUAGAGUGUUUAAAGCAAGCAUUAUGCUUGAAUACAUUAGCAUGGAAUAAUGAAAUAGGACGACGAUCCUAUUUUGUUGGUUUCUAGGAUUGACGUAAUGAUUAAUAGGGAUAGUUGGGGGCAUUAGUAUUCAAUUGUCAGAGGUGAAAUUCUUGGAUUUAUUGAAGACUAACUACUGCGAAAGCAUUUGCCAAGGAUGUUUUCAUUAAUCAAGAACGAAAGUUAGGGGAUCGAAGACGAUCAGAUACCGUCGUAGUCUUAACCAUAAACUAUGCCGACUAGGGAUCGGAUGAUGUUAUUUUUAAUACUCAUUCGGCGCCUUACGGGAAAC